AUGGCCACGAAGUUCUACAACAAGGUCAAGGGCCUUGCUGACACGUUAGCCUCCAUCGGACAGCCGCUCACCGACUCCGAGUUCAACUCCUUUAUUGUCAAUGGGCUUGACGAGGAGUAUGAUGCUUUGGUCGAGAUUAUCAACGAGCGGGGCAACUCGAAUCCCAUGAUGGCACAUGAGGUCUAUUCUCGCCUCCUCCUCAUCGAACAACGUGUCGAGGCGCGCCGCUCCAAGGGCAGCCACGGCCCCCUCUCCGCGAACGCCGCCACCAAGGGUGGCCGCAACUCGUCUAAGGCGCCACCCCCUGCAUCGUCCUCGUCCCUCUCGCCCCCCUCCCCCGUCCACAACUCUACCAGGGGCUGGUGGUCAGCGUGUGUGUCAACUUUGUGGCAUUGA
This 396-nucleotide ribosomal RNA is filed under the name Triticum aestivum (bread wheat). RNAcentral's name for it is "partial small subunit ribosomal RNA". Lineage: Eukaryota; Viridiplantae; Streptophyta; Magnoliopsida; Poales; Poaceae. The record is from RNAcentral.